GAUGAAGAACGUAGCGAAAUGCGAUAAGUAAUGUGAAUUGCAGAAUUCAGUGAAUCAUCGAAUCUUUGAACGCACAUUGCGCCCGCCAGUAUUCUGGCGGGCAUGCCUGUUCGAGCGUCAUUACAACCCUCAGGCCCCCGGGCCUGGCGUUGGGGAUCGGCAGAAGCCCCCUGUGGGCACACGCCGUCCCUCAAAUACAGUGGCGGUCCCGCCGCAGCUUCCAUUGCGUAGUAGCUAACACCUCGCAACUGGAGAGCGGCGCGGCCAUGCCGUAAAACACCCAACUUCUGAAUGUUGACCUCGAAUCAGGUAGGAAUACCCGCUCAACUUAAGCAUAUCAAUAAGCGGAGGA
This 352-nucleotide unclassified non-coding RNA is filed under the name soil metagenome. RNAcentral's name for it is "partial contains 5.8S ribosomal RNA, internal transcribed spacer 2, and large subunit ribosomal RNA". The stretch from base 1 to 120 matches the Rfam family "5.8S ribosomal RNA", at positions 35 to 154 of the family's 154-position model. The record is from RNAcentral.